UACGUAGGUGGCAAGCGUUGUCCGGAAUUAUUGGGCGUAAAGCGCGCGCAGGCGGUCCUUUAAGUCUGAUGUGAAAGCCCACGGCUCAACCGUGGAGGGUCAUUGGAAACUGGGGGACUUGAGUACAGAAGAGAAGAGUGGAAUUCCACGUGUAGCGGUGAAAUGCGUAGAGAUGUGGAGGAACACCAGUGGCGAAGGCGACUCUUUGGUCUGUAACUGACGCUGAGGCGCGAAAGCUAGGGUAGCAAACGGG
This 253-nucleotide ribosomal RNA is filed under the name uncultured bacterium. Its description in RNAcentral is "partial 16S ribosomal RNA". It matches the Rfam family "Bacterial small subunit ribosomal RNA", at positions 524 to 776 of the family's 1533-position model. The record is from RNAcentral.